GGGUCAUCCACUUGAUUGGCUUGGGAGCUGCCCAGUGGGGAAGAGUGGAGCCCCCAGGAUGGCUGAUUUUCUGGGCAGCUGCCACCACAUGCCCUUUUUAAAGAUAUAAAUUUCCUUCUUCCUAGGAUGCUCCUUCCUCUGGACACUUCUUCGUCAUUCCAGUACCUCCUCCUGCCUCAGCCUCUUGUGUAGCUGAGAUUAUAGGCAUGCACCACCACACCCAGCAUACACAACUAUUACUUUUAUGACUGCACAGUACUGGGCCAUGAAAAAGGCCAAUGGCCCAUGCUAGUUCAUCACUUUGGAAGGAGCCACAGACUUUAAAUUUAAUGAAAGUAAAAGUAAUUUAUUUUUAAUAUAAUUAUCUCUAUAGUAAGAAGCAACAUAAUUUAAAAAAUGCAUUUCCUUCAUUUUGUUUAGCUAGAGACAUUCUAUAAUGCUGGGUAGGAGGAAACAUAGCUUAUCAUACAGCCUUCUUUGAGGAGCGCUAGCUAGGCACAGUGAGGCAGGAUACGGAAGACAGGGAGGGAGUGGUGUCAAACGUGGCUUCAGUGUUAACAGCUAGCUAACAUUAACAGCCUGUAUUUAUUUUACUUCAUUUUUCUUAACCCCUAUAUUGUGUGACUAAACUACAACACACUAGUGUGGGAAACCUUUGUAGAUAAUCAUUUCAAUGUAUAUGCUAACUUUUAGUUCCUACCUCAAACUAUAUAAUCAACUAUACAAGUAACCAGACUUUUGAUUACUGUUAUGUAACGUAAUCACAGUCAGCAGAAUAUGGAAUUACACUGCUGAGCUACAAGAACAGGAGCCAUGUGCAUUACUUAUGAAAAACACAGCAUUUUAGCUCAGUGGUAUAAAGGGCUAAGUUAUUCAAA
This is a long non-coding RNA of Octodon degus (degu), 878 nucleotides long. RefSeq lists it as uncharacterized. The record is from RefSeq and is a predicted model, not a curated record. NCBI's taxonomy places the organism in Eukaryota, Metazoa, Chordata, Mammalia, Rodentia, Octodontidae. The transcript is spliced from 3 exons.